GGGCCUGUAGCUCAAUGGUCAGAGCCGGCGGCUCAUAACCGCUUGGUUGGGGGUUCGAGUCCCUCCGGGCCCA
Molecule: transfer RNA, 73 nt
Filed under: Shinella fusca
Lineage: Bacteria; Pseudomonadati; Pseudomonadota; Alphaproteobacteria; Hyphomicrobiales; Rhizobiaceae
Also listed under: 3 other names
Description: Shinella sp. DC-196 tRNA
Rfam family: tRNA
About the family: Transfer RNA (tRNA) molecules are approximately 80 nucleotides in length.
Source: Rfam by way of RNAcentral